This 480-nucleotide ribosomal RNA is filed under the name uncultured Saprospiraceae bacterium. RNAcentral describes it as "bacterial SSU rRNA". It matches the Rfam family "Bacterial small subunit ribosomal RNA", at positions 28 to 505 of the family's 1533-position model. The record is from RNAcentral. Lineage: Bacteria; Pseudomonadati; Bacteroidota; Saprospiria; Saprospirales; Saprospiraceae.
GAUGAACGCUAGCGGGAGGCUUAAUACAUGCAAGUCGAGGGAGAAAUCUGACUUCGGUUAGACGGAAACCGGCGAACGGGUGAGUAACGCGUACACAACCUACCCUUAACUGGGGGAUAGCCUUGGGAAACUGAGAUUAAUACCCCAUAAUAUUGAUUGAUUGCAUAUGACAUCAAUUAAAGCUCAGGCGGUUAAGGAUGGGUGUGCGUCCCAUUAGCUAGUUGGUGAGGUAACGGCUCACAAAGGCGACGAUGGGUAGGGGGCGUGAGAGCGUGAUCCCCCACACGGGUACUGAGACACGGACCCGACUCCUACGGGAGGCAGCAGUAAGGAAUAUUGGACAAUGGGCGCAAGCCUGAUCCAGCCAUCCCGCGUGCAGGAAGACGGCCCUAUGGGUUGUAAACUGCUUUUGUUAGGGAAGAAACCCCCCGAUUUAUCGGGGGCUGACGGUACCUAAAGAAUAAGCACCGGCUAACUCCG